GUUACUUUGGCAGAUUAGUGCGAUUGAUUUAGGAUCUUUAUAUGUAGUUUUUACAGGUAAUA
Molecule: transfer RNA, 62 nt
Filed under: Pyrearinus termitilluminans (Brazilian larval click-beetle)
Lineage: Eukaryota; Metazoa; Arthropoda; Insecta; Coleoptera; Elateridae
Description: tRNA-Leu
Source: RNAcentral